AGCUCCAAUAGCGUAUAUUAAAGUUGUUGCAGUUAAAAAGCUCGUAGUUGGAUUUCUGUGAAGGCUCUCGCGCCGGCUCGACGCCAGUGUGCAGGAACCUUUACAUCCUUCUGAUAGCUGGGCUCGCAUUUAUUUGUGGGUUCAGGCUCAGAUAUUUUACCUUGAGAAAAUUAGAGUGUUUCAGGCAGGCUUUGCUCGGAAUACAUUAGCAUGGAAUAAUGGAAUAGGACUGCAGCGUCUUUCGGGGCGCCGGUCUCUGUUGUUGGUUUCAGGGACUAAAGUAAUGAUUAAUAGGGAUAGUUGGGGGCAUCAGUAUUUAAUAGUCAGAGGUGAAAUUCUCGGAUUUGUUAAAGACUAACUUAUGCGAAAGCAUUUGCCAAGGAUGUUUUCAUUAAUCAAG
This 400-nucleotide ribosomal RNA is filed under the name phytoplankton environmental sample. RNAcentral's name for it is "partial small subunit ribosomal RNA". It matches the Rfam family "Eukaryotic small subunit ribosomal RNA", at positions 587 to 981 of the family's 1831-position model. The record is from RNAcentral.